Molecule: long non-coding RNA, 334 nt
Organism: Labeo rohita (rohu)
Lineage: Eukaryota; Metazoa; Chordata; Actinopteri; Cypriniformes; Cyprinidae
Exons: 3
Source: RefSeq, a predicted model, not a curated record
GGUAUAUGUAGUGGAAAAUGAAACUAUGGAUCAGUGGUUCCUCUUACGGUCGGAUUAAACAGAUGGGCGUUUAUGAGCACCUACAACAGUCUGGACCUUUGAACUUGACGCGGCUAACGAACUGGAAGUCUCGCGCAUUCAGAGAAAACGGCUUACUUCUGCACUGAAAAAUAAGAGCGAUUGGAGAGGUGGACCAGGCCAUGACUCACCAAACUCCAGUAAGCUAAUAUCCCUCGAUCAGGUGCAUAAGUACCAUGUGAUCAGUUGACCGCCCUGCUAUUCUGAGGCAUGAUCCACAAAGUUUGGAAUUGUGUUUCUCUGAAGAAGUUCGAAA